This 495-nucleotide ribosomal RNA is filed under the name uncultured bacterium. RNAcentral describes it as "partial 16S ribosomal RNA". It matches the Rfam family "Bacterial small subunit ribosomal RNA", at positions 28 to 507 of the family's 1533-position model. The record is from RNAcentral.
GACGAACGCUGGCGGCGUGCCUAAUACAUGCAAGUAGAACGCUGAAGGAGGAGCUUGCUUCUCUGGAUGAGUUGCGAACGGGUGAGUAACACGUAGGUAACCUGCCUGGUAGCGGGGGAUAACUAUUGGAAACGUUAGCUAAUACCGCAUAAUAGUAGAUGUUGCAUGACAUUUGCUUAAAAGGUGCAAUUGCAUCACUACCAGAUGGACCUGCGUUGUAUUAGCUAGUUGGUGAGGUAACGGCUCACCAAGGCAACGAUACAUAGCCGACCUGAGAGGGUGAUCGGCCACACUGGGACUGAGACACGGCCCAGACUCCUACAGGAGGCAGCAGUAGGGAAUCUUCGGCAAUGGACGGAAGUCUGACCGAGCAACGCCGCGUGAGUGAAGAAGGUUUUCGGAUCGUAAAGCUCUGUUGUAAGAGAAGAACGAGUGUGAGAGUGGAAAGUUCACACUGUGACGGUAUCUUACCAGAAAGGGACGGCUAAAUACGUG